Non-coding RNA from Podarcis lilfordi (Lilford's wall lizard), 67 nucleotides. The record is from the annotation of a GenBank genome assembly. NCBI's taxonomy places the organism in Eukaryota, Metazoa, Chordata, Lepidosauria, Squamata, Lacertidae.
UCUCUCAGUUGGUAGAGCAUGAGACUUUUAAUCUCAGGCUCAUGGGUUUGAGCCCUCAUGAGGAAAA